UCCCCCUCUCUUCUUUCCCACCUGAUCUUUCUAUCUUCUCCAUGUUAGUCCAACCAAGUUUUAUGCUAAACUUGAGUUUAUACUAUAAUUUUGGGAAAAAAAGGCCCUUAGCUCAGUCUGAAAUCUAAAAUAUUUUAGGGCAAGAUUCAAAAUUUUUCUAGGGCCAACAUAGAAAUUUAAUUUAUCUUGACCUAAUUCUAGCCAUAUGGACCUUACCGUUUUGUUUAU
Molecule: long non-coding RNA, 228 nt
Filed under: Elaeis guineensis (African oil palm)
Lineage: Eukaryota; Viridiplantae; Streptophyta; Magnoliopsida; Arecales; Arecaceae
Description: long non-coding RNA (EGUI_LNC044850)
Source: RNAcentral